UUUAUUGGAGAGUUUGAUCCUGGCUCAGGAUGAACGCUGGCGGCGUGCCUAAUACAUGCAAGUCGAGCGAAUGGAUUAAGAGCUUGCUCUUAUGAAGUUAGCGGCGGACGGGUGAGUAACACGUGGGUAACCUGCCCAUAAGACUGGGAUAACUCCGGGAAACCGGGGCUAAUACCGGAUAACAUUUUGAACCGCAUGGUUCGAAAUUGAAAGGCGGCUUCGGCUGUCACUUAUGGAUGGACCCGCGUCGCAUUAGCUAGUUGGUGAGGUAACGGCUCACCAAGGCAACGAUGCCUAGCCGACCUGACACGGUGAUCGGCCACAC
RNAcentral lists this ribosomal RNA (325 nucleotides) under Bacillus cereus. RNAcentral's name for it is "bacterial SSU rRNA". It matches the Rfam family "Bacterial small subunit ribosomal RNA", at positions 1 to 313 of the family's 1533-position model. The record is from RNAcentral. Lineage: Bacteria; Bacillati; Bacillota; Bacilli; Caryophanales; Bacillaceae.